RNAcentral lists this ribosomal RNA (301 nucleotides) under uncultured bacterium. RNAcentral describes it as "partial 16S ribosomal RNA". It matches the Rfam family "Bacterial small subunit ribosomal RNA", at positions 509 to 807 of the family's 1533-position model. The record is from RNAcentral.
CAGCAGCCACGGUAAUACGUAGGUGGCAAGCGUUGUCCGGAAUUAUUGGGCGUAAAGGGCUCGCAGGCGGUUUCUUAAGUCUGAUGUGAAAGCCCCCGGCUCAACCGGGGAGGGUCAUUGGAAACUGGGAAACUUGAGUGCAGGAGAGGGGAGUGGAAUUCCACGUGUAGCGGUGAAAUGCGUAGAGAUGUGGAGGAACGCCAGUGGCGAAGGCGACUCUCUGGUCUGUAACUGACGCUGAGGAGCGAAAGCGUGGGGAGCGAACAGGAUUAGAUACCCGCGUAGUCCCUGUCUCUUAUAC